This 101-nucleotide small nuclear RNA is filed under the name Marmota marmota marmota (Alpine marmot). The record is from RNAcentral. Lineage: Eukaryota; Metazoa; Chordata; Mammalia; Rodentia; Sciuridae.
GUGCUUCUUCAGCAGCACACAUAUGUUAAAAUUGGAAUGAUACAGAAAGAUUAGCAUGACCCCUGUACCUGCAUGACAUUUAUGAAGUAUUCCAUAUUUUC